This 497-nucleotide ribosomal RNA is filed under the name uncultured bacterium. Its description in RNAcentral is "bacterial SSU rRNA". It matches the Rfam family "Bacterial small subunit ribosomal RNA", at positions 28 to 522 of the family's 1533-position model. The record is from RNAcentral.
GAUCAACGCUGGCGGCGUGCCUAAUGCAUGCAAGUCGAGCGGGGUGCGGGGUUUCCCGGCACUUACGCGGCGGACGGGUGCGUAACACGUGGGCAACCUGCCCUGGGGUGGGGGAUAGCCGUGGGAAACCGCGGGUAAUUCCGCAUACGUUGGUCGUCCGGCAGGGAGGGCCAAGAAAGGGAGCAAUCCCGCCCGAGGAGGGGGCUGCGGCCGAUUAGCUAGUUGGUGGGGUAAGGGCUUACCAAGGCGANGAUCGGUAGCUGGUCUGAGAGGACGGCCAGCCACACGGGGACUGAGAACGGCCCCGACUCCUACGGGAGGCAGCAGCAAGGAAUCUUCCGCAAUGGGGGCAACCCUGACGGAGCAACGCCGCGUGCGGGAUGACGCGCUUCGGCGUGUAAACCGCUUUUCUGCGGGACGGAAGGGUGGGACGCAAGCUUGCCUUGACGGUACCGGAGGAAGAAGGACCGGCUAACUACGUGCCAGCCGCCGCAAGU